Molecule: long non-coding RNA, 227 nt
Organism: Ostrea edulis (European flat oyster)
Lineage: Eukaryota; Metazoa; Mollusca; Bivalvia; Ostreida; Ostreidae
Exons: 2
Source: RefSeq, a predicted model, not a curated record
CUGGAGGAGACGAUACAGCUUCUGCUGACUUCAUUGUGUCGCCAUGUUCUGUGUUAAUGGAUAAUGGCGGCAGAGAACCAAACAUUUCAUUGAGCUGAUCUUUGUUUAUUUUCUGAGGAGAGAAACUCGAAUGAGUUGAGUGGGAAAAUGAGCCUCCAGAUGUAUAUGUACAUGUGUAUAUUAUAAUUAAACUUCUGUUGCACUCACGCAUGCGAGGUUACUCUACA